CCGAUCGUAAACGAGACACACCUCAGCCGAAUUUUCUCGGCUCAGAUCACGUGCACGACACUAGCGUUAAACCAGGGGGAAACAGCUGCGCGUGGAUCAACCGAAAAGCUCUUGCGUUGUUUGAACUAAACGUUCAAAACUUCCCGGACUGGUUUCAUUUCCGCGGCACUGAAAAAUGAAAGCGAGUGAGAUGUACCUGAGGAUGAAGUAAAAAGAGUUCUUCCAGGAUUCUUUGACUGGUUUAUGAAGAAUAGAGGCAGAAACCUGCAAGAAGAAAAGAUAAGUAGAUGCAGAUUACCAGAUGAAGAUGUUUUCUUGUCACUGAGUCAGAACAUAGAACAGGAACAGACCCUUUGGCCCACAACGUUUUGGCAAACCAAUUCAGUUAGCAUCAAGUGCCCAACUAAACAACACAAUGUCCAUAUCCUUAGAUUUUCCUCAUGCUUAUGUGACUACCUAAACAGCUCUUAAAAGUCCCUAAUGUAUCUGCCUUUGCCACCAGAUCAGGCAGUACAUUACAGGCACCGCCACUCUCCGUGUGGGGAGGGGAAAAAAAACCUUUGCCCUAACAUCUCCUUUGAAAUUAUCCCCUCUCACCUAAAAAAAAUGCAUGCCUUCUCAUAAUAGACAUUCUAACCAUGGAAAAAAGAUGCUGUCUGUUCCAUCUUUGCCGCUCAUAAUCUUAUGAAUCUUUAUCAGAUCUCAACCUCAGCCUCCAGAGAUCCAGAUAAAACACCCAAAGUUUGUCCAACCCCUUGUUAUAGUAUAUAUCCUCUAAUCCAGGCAGCUUCCUGGUAAAUCUUGUAUGCACCUUCUCCAAAGUCUCAACAUUCUUCCUAUAAUGGGGCAACCAGAACUCUAUGCAAUAUUGCAGAUGCAGCCAAACUAGAGUUUUAUAAAGCAAACUAGUUAUCCACUACAGCAAUAGCUUACCUUAAGGCAUUAUCUGGGGGUUACUGCUAGUCUAUUUGUCACAUCAGCAAUAUCUUCUAGCUCUGACCUGGGUCAGAGAAACAUGUAUCCUGUCAUAUUCUAUCUUAGUUCACUAUGGAACCUCACCUAAUAUUCCCUUUCCCCAUCUUACAUCGUCAGUUACCACUGAUGCAGACAUUAUUGCAUCUUUCCACUGUAGCCAUGGAAAUUACUUUCACCUCUCUGUCCUUGAGUCGAUGGAUAGACAGAUCCUUUUGCUGCAAGGGCAUAUGUUAACAUAGAUAAUUGCCCUGGCACAGCCAGUGACAGUAUUGACUGUUUGGUUAAAAUUAUAACCCUCCGCAAUCCUUUUCACAACCAUCACAGCAGUCAGAUAAGCUUCAGGUGGGAGCAUUGACAUAUAUCUGAGCCAAUGGUUUAUUUUCUGAUCACUUUUGUCAUUCAGGUUCCCAUCACUUUGGCCUUGGCAAAGGUUACUAAAGACUUCAGGGCUGUUGUCUGUCUAUUGUAACAUUUCCCAUCAAUUUACCCAUUCUGUUAAGUUUCACUUGUACACAGUUUUCUAUGUCUAAAACUGAUCUUUUUGAAGAUUUUAACAAUGAAUAAUUACCAAAUGGUUUGCUGCUUUAGCUCUGGGUUUUAUACAUUCUAAAUUGAUUUGUAUUAGUUCAACAGAUGCAUGUUGACCAGGGCUAAGAUAACACUUCAAUGAACACCAAAAACUUCUGAGUAACACACUUUGUGAUUGCUCUUCAAAUAUGAAUCUGGAGAGCAAAUACUAACAUACUUUCUGAGUUGGAACUUUUUUAUUCAAACUUCUUGUAUGCAUAUUUUCCUGCAGAGCUGGAGGAAGAACCAUGGGUGACCAUUUCCCUUCUCGCAGUUUGGCCAGUGAGGUGAAUGAACAUCUGCUCUAGUCAAUGGUCUUUUGAUGUGACAAUGACCUCAGGGAAGUAAGUGUCAAGUUCUCCUAGUCUGUGCAACUAAUAUGAAACCUCAUGGCGCAUUCAUCUAUCGGAUAUCUGAGAAAGUGAGACAAUGCCAAACUUCUGGGCACUGAUCUUCUGUAGAUGUCCAACCCAAGCUAACACAUGGAGCAUUCAAUUUUUAUUGGUGGAGCAGAGAUGAGGAGUUCCUUUUGGGUUCCUAACAGUACAAACCAACCUGCAAAAUGCAGAGCUCCUAUAGCAUGGACGAUAUAUCAGCAGUUUUGGAAGUGACUCAAGAAGACGCGUAUGCUUGGGGCAUUGGCCAAAUGUAAACACAUGGAUUGAAGACUCAUCUGUCCACUCCUUUGAAUUUUAGGAUGGAGUAGAAAGAGCAGCAAAAUCCUGUAAAUCUUGACUCUAUCCAAAUUUGCCAACCAACCCAAGGGGAAUCCACAAAACAUGUCCAAUCUCACCCAAGGAAACACUUGCUUUAGCAAAAAAUUGGUGGCUAGUGAUGUGCAAUGUGGUUUUAACCUGUGUGCGUCUACAGUUCAACGAUCUCUUAGAGAAGACAGAAGAAACAAUCUGACAAAGUACUGGUGGUUCAGAAGAAAACUGUUGGUGAGGUCUUCUUUGUGGGACAGCAUGUUCUUGAUUUUGUUCCAGCAUAUUGCAGCAUGGAAGUAGGAAACAAUUGACCUCCUGCAGAGUCCAAGGAUGCAGUUCAUCCAUCGUGAUCCGAGGGGCUGGAUCAUUGUGAAUGUGACCCUUCAGUUUUACACCAACCCACUCGAGUGGGGUUGCUAAUCUAAAUUGAAAAGGUAAAGUGAAGAUUGUCAGCAGGAUGGAAGGGAUUUAACAAGUGUGAUUGAGGUAAUCAAAAUGAAAACAGGAGUGUCAAUCUACAACAACAAAGUGUUCUGGAGGGGUCACUCUCAUGGUUCAUUCCAUACAGGAAUUCACAGACCCCCUGGGAGUGCCAUCAAAUAAACUUUUACACCAAGCCUUAAAGGAAAUAUUGGAGGAGAUGACCAAAGGCCUGGUUAAAGAGGUAGGUUUUAAGGAACAUCUUAAAAAAAGAAAAAACAGAGACAGGUGGUUAGGAAAGGUAUUCCACAGCUUAGAGUCUUGCAUUGGCCUUUUUUGGUCCUAUUAAAUUAAAAACUGAACUGCUGGAGAAGGUCACAUUUCAGGACAAGACCAAAUUCCUGCAUCAGGUUGUUCUUUGCUUCAGCUUUCAGAAUCUGCAGUCUUUUGUGUUUCCAUUGGUCCAAUUAAACUUGGGAAUGAUUAAGAAACAACUCUGGAGGAGUAUUAUAAAGCUGGGGAGAAUUCAGUGCUAGGGAGAGAUUUAAAAUUAAGUUGCUGCUUAAUAGAUCAGCAAAUACAGGCUUGAAUGAUGAACAGUUAUGGGCUAGAUUAAAAACACAUGGAAUGAAAAUGUUGAGACGAAUUCUCACUUAAUGUUCUUGAGUGGUGCUAGCUCAUCACAAAGUAAGGUUACUAGUAUUCUACUGCAGUCUCAGCAGUUCAGCAUUAAUAGGAUUUUCUGUUUUUAUUUCAGAUUUCCAGCAUCAGCAAUAUUUUGUUUUUGUACAACCAGUGUCCAGAAUUUCUCUGCAUAAUAGAAUUAAUUGCUUUUUUAAAUGCAAGGUUAAAUUGUGCCUAGAAUUUUAAAAAAUAUGCCUUGGAGCAAUUGGAACCAAGAAAGCAAAG
This is a long non-coding RNA of Mobula hypostoma (lesser devil ray), 3578 nucleotides long. RefSeq lists it as uncharacterized. Lineage: Eukaryota; Metazoa; Chordata; Chondrichthyes; Myliobatiformes; Myliobatidae. The record is from RefSeq and is a predicted model, not a curated record. The transcript has 4 exons.